This 448-nucleotide ribosomal RNA is filed under the name uncultured bacterium. Its description in RNAcentral is "bacterial SSU rRNA". It matches the Rfam family "Bacterial small subunit ribosomal RNA", at positions 328 to 792 of the family's 1533-position model. The record is from RNAcentral.
AAUCCAGACUCCUACGGGAGGCAGCAGUGGGGAAUAUUGCACAAUGGGGGAAACCCUGAUGCAGCGACGCCGCGUGAGUGAAGAAGUAUUUCGGUAUGUAAAGCUCUAUCAGCAGGGAAGAUAAUGACGGUACCUGACUAAGAAGCCCCGGCUAACUACGUGCCAGCAGCCGCGGUAAUACGUAGGGGGCAAGCGUUAUCCGGAUUUACUGGGUGUAAAGGGUGCGUAGGUGGCAUGGCAAGUCAGAAGUGAAAGCCCGGGGCUCAACCCCGCGGACUGCUCUGGAAACUGUAGAACUAGAGUGCAGGAGGGGUAAGUGGAAUUCCUAGUGUAGCGGUGAAAUGCGUAGAUAUUAGGAGGAACACCAGUGGCGAAGGCGGCUUACUGGACUGUAACUGACGUUGAGGCUCGAAAGCGUGGGGAGCAAACAGGAUUAGAUACCCCCGUA